Molecule: ribosomal RNA, 250 nt
Filed under: uncultured bacterium
Lineage: Bacteria
Description: partial 16S ribosomal RNA
Rfam family: Bacterial small subunit ribosomal RNA
Source: RNAcentral
UACGUAGGUGGCGAGCGUUAUCCGGAUUUACUGGGUGUAAAGGGUGUGUAGGCGGGGAAGCAAGUCAGAUGUGAAAUGCCAAGGCUUAACUUUGGCACUGCAUUUGAAACUGCGUCUCUUGAGAGUCGGAGAGGUAAUCGGAAUUCCCAGUGUAGCGGUGAAAUGCGUAGAUAUUGGGAGGAACACCAGUGGCGAAGGCGGAUUACUGGACGACAACUGACGCUGAGACACGAAAGCGUGGGGAGCAAAC